CAAUAGCGUAUAUUAAAGUUGUUGCAGUUAAAAAGCUCGUAGUUGGAUUUCUGGUGGGAGCGAUCGGUCUGGCGCUUAGCGCGAGUACUUGCAUCGUCUCCGGCCAUCCUUGGGGAGAGUCUGUCUGGCAUUAGGUUGUCGGGCAGAGGAUCCUCAUCGUUUACUGUGAAAAAAUUAGAGUGUUCAAAGCAGGCUUAUGCCGUUGAAUAUAUUAGCAUGGAAUAAUAAGAUAGGACUUUGGUACUAUUUUGUUGGUUUGCGCACCAAAGUAAUGAUUAAUAGGGACAGUUGGGGGUAUUCGUAUUCCGUUGUCAGAGGUGAAAUUCUUGGAUUUACGGAAGACGAACUACUGCGAAAGCAUUUACCAAGGAUUUUUUCAUUAA
RNAcentral lists this ribosomal RNA (383 nucleotides) under uncultured eukaryote. RNAcentral's name for it is "partial 18S ribosomal RNA". It matches the Rfam family "Eukaryotic small subunit ribosomal RNA", at positions 592 to 976 of the family's 1831-position model. The record is from RNAcentral.